Molecule: non-coding RNA, 69 nt
Organism: Heterocephalus glaber (naked mole-rat)
Lineage: Eukaryota; Metazoa; Chordata; Mammalia; Rodentia; Bathyergidae
Source: Rfam
GGGGAUGUAGCUCAGUGGCACAGCGCCUGCCCGGCAAGCUCGAGGCCCUGGGUUCGAUUCCCGGUACCA